AUACUUACCUGGCAGGGGAGACACCAUGAUCAUGUAGGUGGUUUUCCCAGGGCGAGGCUCAUUCAUUGCGCUUGAAAUGUGCUGACCCCUGCGAUUUCCCCAGAUGUAGGAAACUCGACUGCAUAAUUUGUUAUAGUGGGGGACUGCAUCAGCGCUCUCCCCUG
Molecule: small nuclear RNA, 164 nt
Organism: Sorex fumeus (smoky shrew)
Lineage: Eukaryota; Metazoa; Chordata; Mammalia; Eulipotyphla; Soricidae
Product: U1 spliceosomal RNA
Exons: 1
Source: RefSeq, a predicted model, not a curated record